Non-coding RNA from Maylandia zebra (zebra mbuna), 135 nucleotides. The record is from RefSeq and is a predicted model, not a curated record. Lineage: Eukaryota; Metazoa; Chordata; Actinopteri; Cichliformes; Cichlidae.
CUUCCCCACAGGGUCACGGGUUCCACGCUUUGAUCCAACAGCAUAUAUCCAGGACAGGCAGCGCAGACAGAAGGAGGCAGAAAUCAAAAAACAAAGGAAGGUGCGAAGGGACAUGCUGGCAUCACCCGUGCUCCC